GUUUCGUCCCGCCAUAGUCGGCGCAGCCGGCGGCUCUCCGCCCCCCGCGGCCGUUCAGGGCGGGGCGGGCAGGCUUCGGCCUUGCCGGUCCCGCCCCGCGUGGGCGGGGAGCUCCGGCCCCCGCCGCCAUCGCGCCAGCACCGAGCCCUCGCACCGGGGCAGCCAAGGACGGACCCCGCCCCUCAGUCUCUAAUGGCUCCCCCUCACAACAGUUGAAGCUGGAAGGGACCUCUGUCAACUACUUGAGUCCAACCACCUGCUCCAGCAAGCUCAGCACAUUCCCUGUGGCUGCAUCCAGCUGGGUUUUAACUAUCCUCAAGAAUGGAGACAUCACAACCUUUCCAGGCAGGCUGUUCCAGUGUUUGACUACCCUUCACAACGGAAGUGUUUUAAUUUAUACCCAAGUUUUCAAAUUAUAAGCUUCAACUUUCUAAAAUGAUAGCAUUACUGUACUCCUGGGAAAAAAAUCCCAAAGAACAGCAAGGACAAGUGUGAAUAUGAAAAAAAAAGUAAAAAGUUACAUGUAUAUAUAUAGGUAUAUAUAUAUAUAUAUAUAUAUACACACACGCCCCUGUAUAACUUAUCCCCCUUCCAUACAGAGUGCAUUAUGUAAACCUUUCAGCAUAACAUUAAAGGGAGUGACAAGUGAAAGAAUGGCAAUAUUUUCUUUAAUGAAGAAAAUAUGAUUUGUAACCUUGAAAGAGUAACUUUUUUAUCCAGUCUGGAGAACUACACCCAAACCUUAUACAUAUUAACAGCCAACCUCUGAGGUUUUCAUGUACAUUCAAAUAUUUCAGGCAGCAUGUUUAAUUUAGGAAUUUUUUACUGGUUUUGAUUUUAGAGACAAUUAAACUUUAAAGAAUAAAAAGACACAAAGCUUACAGAUCAAACAACUUGCCAGCCUCUGUACCAACACUCAAACAUUCUAAUUACUUUCCCUCUGUAUAGUACAAAACCAAGAUGCUAGAAGGGCUUAUGUAAUUAACUUGGUUGCUUUUCUAUUCCACGAAACCAACACUCAACAGUAAGAUACAAGUUUUGAGAGGCAUUUUAUUUUGACAACUAAAAACAGUUAAACAUUCAGAAGCAGUGUACAAUGAAACAUAACCCGAACCAAAUACUUGUAGUACAUAAUCCCAUCUUUUCAACUGAGGCCACAUUUUCCAACUUUCAAGGAAAAAAAAAAAAAAAAUGGGUAAAAGCCAUUGUAUCUCUUCUCUCUAAUAAAGAAAACACACUACAAUGAGUCUAACUGAAAUUGGAGAGACUGGAUCUUGGCUUGUACACUUCUUUGAAAAGACAUGAGGCAGUUAUGCUAAAAAGAUAGCAAAACUCUACUACUUGUCUUUUUUUUUUUUUUUUGGAUAGUCAGUUCUUAUACAGACAACACCGAGCCAGUUCCACCACAUUCUCAUCAAUUACUGCCCAUCUUUGCCUUACGUAGAGAGCGCACUCUGGAAGGCUGCUGUUCAUCACCGUUCACUUGAUUUAGUCUUUUAUGUCCAUAUGCUGCGUAACAGUUGCAAUAUUCAGGCCUUAACUUCAGGAGUUGAGCUGUACACUGAAUCUGAGUUUUCAGAGGCAAGAUCUUCUGCAAUUAAAUAAAAAGGGUGUUAUUUAACUUCACCUUAGAUAUAUAAACCAAAAGCAUGUUGCAGAGGUUGCUUAAAGACCAGGUCAGUUUGUUCUCCCAUUUAACCUGAUCCAAUUAUUCUAUGCCAUCUGUUCAGCUCUAGUCACUAGUCUGACACCACAUGGUCAUUUUCAGGGAAAUGCAUUCAAAGAUCUUUUCAGAAGAGUGAAAAAUGCCAGAAGGUACUUGGGGAAAACCACCUCGUCCAUACUAAAGCAUGCUACCAUUUCUGCUGAUCUUUUAAUGCUCAGCUGAGUUGAAGCUGGCAGUUCAGUGCAUUACCUAUUUCCUCCUCUGCAGUUCCUGGAAGGGUGGUCCGUGCUUUUGCUGCUUCUGCAUUCUCCUCUUCUGUAGAGGAGGGAGAAAAAACAAAAA
Long non-coding RNA from Columba livia (rock pigeon), 2008 nucleotides. RefSeq lists it as uncharacterized. Lineage: Eukaryota; Metazoa; Chordata; Aves; Columbiformes; Columbidae. The record is from RefSeq and is a predicted model, not a curated record. The transcript has 2 exons.